UGGCAUUCCUAAUAUGCAACAGAAUGACGCUCUUCAAAGAGCCAGAGCACAGGCCAUUAUUUCCUAGAUUGUAUCAUGAACAAACUUCACCCUAGUUGAAGGGAUUAGCAGUAGCAAGUAGAGGAACUUCAGCCUAGGGGUUUAUUGUGAAGCUCAGACUCAAUAUUUUAGUUUGCAAGAUGGGCUCCUUGCCAUGUGACAUUAAGACUGGCAGGGAGAACAACAGAUACAGCAGAGGUAAAGAUGAGGCCUGAUCUGAUCUUUGUAUUGCCAAGAGCCCAGCACAGGCCCAUUUGAGGAAAAAUCAACAGAUACUGAUGGAACCACAUGAUUCUCUCAUGGAGAUGCUCACAGUAUGGACCUUUCCUAUGAAAGCAUCAACUGGAAGGUGUGGAUGGAAACCAUAUGACUCACAUUGCUACCACGGCAGCCUAAGUCCAUCUUUGUAACAGACAUGGCAACACAUCUACUAUCAGAGACUGGGCACAGAGUAAAGGACUCUUGGUUUCAAAUUUAUAGGAUACCACUGCCAGACUUAUGAUUCCUGCUAAAGUUGACCUGAGUGUCCUGCAGUAAGGGAGGCUUCAUUGCACAGUGACUUAUCCUUGCCUGCUUCUUUCUGGAAGAUUGACCUUUNUGAUUCCUGCUAAAGUUGACCUGAGUGUCCUGCAGUAAGGGAGGCUUCAUUGCAGUGACUUAUCCUUGUCUGCUUCUGGAAGAUUGACCUUCGAUCAUGUCUCAGAACUAUCAGUAUAGUGUGUCACUGCUGUUGACAGCUUUUCUGAUUAAUGUUGCUAUUCUAGUCUGAUUAGUCAACCUGAUAGAGAAUCCUUAUAAGAAUGAUUCUUUCUAGGUAUUAUUUUGGAUACAUUUUAUCAGUAAUAAAUUCCCUUCUGGUCCAGGUACACUAAGGGUAAAAGAAGUAAAAGAACUCCUUGAUAUUGAUCCAUGUUACCAGUUUGCUAUUUAUCAGACUACAAAAGAAAUAUAUGAACAAGGACUAUGUUAUAACCAAGAAACAUGUCAAAUAUUUUACUCUACUUACAUUAAAAAAAACUCCAUCAACUUUUCAUAUGUAAUUUUAUUUUUGCCUUUACUUCUAUUCCAUAUAAGCAGGAGGCCAUAUUUCAGAUGCCUUACCCUCCAUUUGAAGAAAAAAAAAAGCUCUGUUGGAUUGGAGUGCUCAUGUGUCUUCAUUUCAGUGUCAACUCAUGAAAGUUCUCCUUUAUACUCAGAUUGGCUCGAUUUCUCAUCUGUAAUGCAGCAUCCAAAAGAAAAAAAAAGGACCUAUCAGAGCCUGUAAUAAGCCAUUGGACACUGUGAUCCUGGUGAUUUUGAAUGCUGUGCUUGAGGAUAUCCCUUUUUUGUGGAGGGAAGGAAAUGUUAGAAAAAUCUGAUUUUUUUUUCCCUUCUCCAAUGGAAAAUAUCUAUCUUUCUCCCUGACAAGUAUCUACAGAACCCUUUGGGGAGGCUAGGAGAAAAAUUAAAGUAUGCAUUCCAGUGUAAUUUUGAGAAUACAACUUGGGAGGACCUGGCUUUUCAUUUCACUUCCCUCCAUGACUGCUUUACAUUAUCUUUGAUACCCUUCCUUGUUUUG
Molecule: long non-coding RNA, 1597 nt
Filed under: Vulpes vulpes (red fox)
Lineage: Eukaryota; Metazoa; Chordata; Mammalia; Carnivora; Canidae
Description: lncRNA (ENSVVUG00000011031.1)
Source: RNAcentral